Non-coding RNA from Cyanistes caeruleus (blue tit), 282 nucleotides. NCBI's taxonomy places the organism in Eukaryota, Metazoa, Chordata, Aves, Passeriformes, Paridae. The record is from RefSeq and is a predicted model, not a curated record.
CUGGGAGGUGGAAGCUCCCACUGAAGCUAUGAGAAAAGGGAAUAAUUUUUGAGAAUAGAGGGAUCUUCAAUCCUGUUGUCAAAGACAUGGCAAGAACAUUUGGCUGGAAACCAAAGCAUGACAAGUUCAAGCAGAAGAGUCUCAGGAAGGAGUGGAAUUGGAGCCAGCACUUGAAGCCAGGAUUUGAAGCCAGGUCCUGUGGAUGGACAAUGAAACUCAGCUCUUUUUUCAUGGGGUACAGAGCAGCUGGGUAGGAACAUUUGUAAUAUAUGAAUUCAGAAU